RNAcentral lists this ribosomal RNA (451 nucleotides) under uncultured bacterium. RNAcentral's name for it is "partial 16S ribosomal RNA". It matches the Rfam family "Bacterial small subunit ribosomal RNA", at positions 354 to 796 of the family's 1533-position model. The record is from RNAcentral.
GUGGGGAAUAUUGGACAAUGGGCGCAAGCCUGAUCCAGCCAUGCCGCGUGUGUGAAGAAGGCCUUUUGGUUGUAAAGCACUUUAAGCGAGGAGGAGGCUACCGAGAUUAAUACUCUUGGAUAGUGGACGUUACUCGCAGAAUAAGCACCGGCUAACUCUGUGCCAGCAGCCGCGGUAAUACAGAGGGUGCAAGCGUUAAUCGGAUUUACUGGGCGUAAAGCGCGCGUAGGUGGCCAAUUAAGUCAAAUGUGAAAUCCCCGAGCUUAACUUGGGAAUUGCAUUCGAUACUGGUUGGCUAGAGUAUGGGAGAGGAUGGUAGAAUUCCAGGUGUAGCGGUGAAAUGCGUAGAGAUCUGGAGGAAUACCGAUGGCGAAGGCAGCCAUCUGGCCUAAUACUGACACUGAGGUGCGAAAGCAUGGGGAGCAAACAGGAUUAGAUACCCCAGUAGUCC